Molecule: ribosomal RNA, 619 nt
Filed under: uncultured Anaplasma sp.
Lineage: Bacteria; Pseudomonadati; Pseudomonadota; Alphaproteobacteria; Rickettsiales; Anaplasmataceae
Description: bacterial SSU rRNA
Rfam family: Bacterial small subunit ribosomal RNA
Source: RNAcentral
GGCUCAGAACGAACGCUGGCGGCAAGCUUAACACAUGCAAGUCGAACGGAUUAUCUUUUAUAGCUUGCUAUAAAAGAUAAUUAGUGGCAGACGGGUGAGUAAUGCAUAGGAAUCUACCUAGUAGUAUGGGAUAGCCACUAGAAAUGGUGGGUAAUACUGUAUAAUCCCUGCGGGGGAAAGAUUUAUCGCUAUUAGAUGAGCCUAUGUUAGAUUAGCUAGUUGGUAGGGUAAAGGCCUACCAAGGCGAUGAUCUAUAGCUGGUCUGAGAGGAUGAUCAGCCACACUGGAACUGAGAUACGGUCCAGACUCCUACGGGAGGCAGCAGUGGGGAAUAUUGGACAAUGGGCGCAAGCCUGAUCCAGCUAUGCCGCGUGAGUGAGGAAGGCCUUAGGGUUGUAAAACUCUUUCAGUAGGGAAGAUAAUGACGGUACCUACAGAAGAAGUCCCGGCAAACUCCGUGCCAGCAGCCGCGGUAAUACGGAGGGGGCAAGCGUUGUUCGGAAUUAUUGGGCGUAAAGGGCAUGUAGGCGGUUCGGUAAGUUAAAGGUGAAAUGCCAGGGCUUAACCCUGGAGCUGCUUUUAAUACUGCCAGACUAGAGUCCGGGAGAGGAUAGCGGAA